CUCAGCAGCUGAUGUCUUGAGUGUCAGAGUUUGUCUCUGAUGCCCUCUGCUGGCCGUGGGAAGCUGCCCUAGCAAGAUCUCCAGUAAUGUCCAGUAGGGGGCAGUAAAUGAACUGGAAACAUUGAAGUUCAACAACAGUCUGCUGCUGACAUUUACAGUGCAAUUACAGACUCAAUGUGACUGACUGAAGCUGUGCAACUCAAGAAAACCCCAAGAACAACAAGAGUCACUACAGAAAUAACGCUUUUUUGAGAUGAGAUGCGUUCUGAAAAAUGCAAUUAAUCUUGUGUUUUUUAAGAUUGAAUGCACACACAAAGAAAGAGAGAGAGAGAGCGAUAGAGAUUUUUACAUAGUUGUAUAUCAUAAAACAUUAUAUAUUUAAUGAUAUAUUAUAACAUUUAAUCUCACUCUCUCUCUCUAUAUAUAUGAAGAGUUCAGAUGCAAAAGCCUCUAAAUCCAUCUGACGUAUUUCUUUAAAAUGAGCAUUUCUUUCUGGCUACUUUGUAUAGGUUUCUGUGUAAGUACUGGUUCUUCUGAUUGGGCUGAGGCUGGAAUUUAGUGAGUUUGAAGUAGAAGUAUUUGAUGGACGUAUAAUAUGUGUCGAGAGCAUUCACUCAGUAUCUCAUUUUUGACCGAGAUGGAUUUUAGCUGGUUUUGCAUCUGAACUCUCUCUCUCUCUCUCUAUAUAAAAUAGAAUGUUGUAUAUAUAAAUAAACAGAAAUACUAUCAUAUAUUUAUCACACAUUUAUUCCAUAAUGCUUUCUUUAUCUAUAAUAUUAUAUAAUGUGUAUUAUAUAUAUUUUAA
This is a long non-coding RNA of Labeo rohita (rohu), 805 nucleotides long. RefSeq lists it as uncharacterized. NCBI's taxonomy places the organism in Eukaryota, Metazoa, Chordata, Actinopteri, Cypriniformes, Cyprinidae. The transcript has 3 exons. The record is from RefSeq and is a predicted model, not a curated record.